Molecule: ribosomal RNA, 253 nt
Filed under: uncultured bacterium
Lineage: Bacteria
Description: partial 16S ribosomal RNA
Rfam family: Bacterial small subunit ribosomal RNA
Source: RNAcentral
UACGUAGGGUGCAAGCGUUGUCCGGAAUUAUUGGGCGUAAAGAGCUCGUAGGCGGUUUGUCGCGUCGGCUGUGAAAACUCGGGGCUCAACCCCGAGCCUGCAGUCGAUACGGGCAAACUAGAGUGCUGUAGGGGAGACUGGAAUUCCUGGUGUAGCGGUGAAAUGCGCAGAUAUCAGGAGGAACACCGGUGGCGAAGGCGGGUCUCUGGGCAGUAACUGACGCUGAGGAGCGAAAGCGUGGGGAGCGAACAGG